AGUUUCUGAGGCGCCGGCGGUGUUCCUGGUAGCGUCAGCCUCCUGGCUUUUCCUUUUCCUGGACGCUUCAGGGCUCCGCGGCCUGCGCUAGACUGGAGGGUCCGCGUCACUCUCGCCCUCCUGCUUUCCGCGCUCUCACCCGCUCCCGCCUCCUGAGGGCACGACUUGUGGAGGAGCGCGGGCGGCGGGGCGUGAGCGAGCUGCCUCUGCCGCCAUCUUAGAGAAGGCGAGCGUGGGGUGUGCGUGGGCGCGAGUCGGCCUCCCGCGGUGCCGCCGCAGCGUGGCGCGGAGAGGCAGGGGCAUCCAGUGGUUCAAGGUUACAAUAAGCUGUGAUCGUGCCACUGCAUUCUACCUGGGAUGACAGAGUGGGACCCUGUGCCACAGAGUGAGACCCUGUCUCAAAAAAAAAAAAACUAUGUAAAUCCAAGAAAAAAAGAAAACAGCUCCUGUUGCCUUUUGCCUCUCAUCCAGAAAGGUAUCCAUUUGCCUUUCUAAUAUCUCUUCAUCCUGUCAGGCCACAAAUGGAGACGACUCACCUGUAUUGUACCUCUCCAAGUUCUGGAAAGUCGAUGGAGGGUUUACUCAGAACUUCAAUCUAUCCAGAACUGAGUUUUGUUUAUGGUGUGUGCCAGGCAGUGGAUUAAACAGUAGUGCAUAUCACUUGGCUGAAGUGACAGGAAUAAAGAACAGAAUGCAUCCACUCCUCCAGUCUCAUUAAGCUGCCUCUUUCUCCUGAAAUUGGAUUGGGAUUCCAGGACACCUCUCAACCUACAGGAAACACUGGAUCUAA
RNAcentral lists this long non-coding RNA (790 nucleotides) under Homo sapiens (human). Its description in RNAcentral is "non-protein coding RFX3-AS1:14". The record is from RNAcentral. Lineage: Eukaryota; Metazoa; Chordata; Mammalia; Primates; Hominidae.